GUUAAAAUGACAAGGAGAAACACAAGGAAGCAUGUCCUCUUUCUUUCCAGGGAUAGGUUUGAGGCAAAAACAUUAGGAAUUAGCAAACAAUAGUGACUGUUGGAUCAGUCGAAGAUCAAAUGAAAGCUGUACUAGACUGUCUGGUCACUGAGGAUAAAAUACCCACAGAUGUCAGCACUACUUUGAAGCUCUUCAUAAACAACCUUGAUGAGUGCUCAAGGAGCAGCAUAAAGCGAUGCAAAGAGUGCAGUCUGGAGGAGGCAGGCUAGCUGCUGAGGAAGAUCCCAGAGAAGCAGCCCCAGUGUUUGGAGGAGAAGCACUACUGAUCAGGCUCCUCGUCGCCAUACAGAUGUAGAUGUUUAACAUCUCCAUUGCAAAUUAGACCAGGUCCAGAACAAGCUCUAUCCUCCAGAAGUUGUUUUCAUUUUUAAACUAAUGUUUUAUUUAUACAUUUUUCCCAGAUGUUUUUCCCCACAGCAGAUACAAACAUACACAGACACACACAAACAACAACUACAUCUCAUCUGCCGAGUCCUGCAUUCUCACACCCCCAUCCCUAGUGCCUGCAUUAUUAUUAUAAUAUAUUUUAUUUACCUUUAUUUAACUAGGCAAUUAUUGAUUUUCACAUGGCCUUAAAUUGUACCAAUUCAUUUUUCUCGGUCGCCCAUGCUAUUUCAAAAAUAAAUCAUUAGAUUUUUCCAUGGUGAUGUUUUCAAUGCUCAGUAUUAACUCAUUUUCUAUCCUGAAUAUGUGUUUGAUCAUGUCAUUACAGAUGUUUCAACAUCUGGCGAAAGUCAACCACUUGCGGGUUUUUAGAGAGAUCCAACCCUGUUUGUUCACUAUAGUGGAAAAUGAUCAGGUGUGUGCAGUCAACACCUACAGGCCCUGGUGCGGGGCUCUGGGCUGAGGGUGGUUGCGCUGCAGUUUACCCAGGCUGUGGCUAUGCUGUCCCUGACCCUUCUCAGCUCCCACUGCUGGACCAUGAGGAACGCUGCCCUACUGUAAGACCUCCUCUCCUCUCACAACUGUAAUGCACACACUGUCAACAUAGUCAAAU
This 1057-nucleotide long non-coding RNA is filed under the name Salmo trutta (river trout). RNAcentral's name for it is "lncRNA (ENSSTUG00000029184.1)". Lineage: Eukaryota; Metazoa; Chordata; Actinopteri; Salmoniformes; Salmonidae. The record is from RNAcentral.